AGGUGUUUCAUCCUUNGUGAAGUAUUNNGAGGAGGUGGUCAUCCUUUGUGAAGAUUCAAAGGAGGUGUAAGUUCAUCUCUUGUGGUUUCAAGAGAGGUGGUAUUUCUAAACUCUUACAAAUUGUUUUUCUCUGUGAUUAAUAUUUGUAAUUGUUUUGUGAUAGUGAAAAAGGUUUAUCUUGUUUGAGAUAAGCGACUGGACGUAGGAUCCGUGUGAUCCGAACCAGGAUAAAAUUAUCUGUGCAAAUUUCUCUCAACCUUACUCUUUUAUUUAUAUCUAUUAUUUGCGUAGUAAGUUUAAUUGAGUAGAAAUUAAAAGGCAUGCGUUUGUUUUAAAAACCCUCUUGGUUUGUUAUUCCAC
Molecule: long non-coding RNA, 360 nt
Filed under: Vigna radiata
Lineage: Eukaryota; Viridiplantae; Streptophyta; Magnoliopsida; Fabales; Fabaceae
Description: long non-coding RNA (VRAD_LNC010194)
Source: RNAcentral